This 2190-nucleotide long non-coding RNA is filed under the name Mus musculus (house mouse). RNAcentral describes it as "DNMT1 associated long intergenic non-coding RNA (Dalir)". The record is from RNAcentral. Lineage: Eukaryota; Metazoa; Chordata; Mammalia; Rodentia; Muridae.
UUUGUUUUUUAAAUCAAGAUUAUAGAUUUUGGGGAGGUGACUCAGGAGUUAAGAGCAUUUGCAACUCUCCAAGGAGGCUUGGAUUCAGUUCCUAGUACCCACAUGGUGGCUCACAAUCAUCUAUAACUUGAGUUUCAGGAAAUCCAAUACUCUCUUCUGACCUCUACAUAAACCAGGCAUGCACAUGAUGCACAUAAAUAUUGUGCAGGCAAACACCGUCCCCCAGACACUCAAAAUACAUAAAAUAAAAAUAAGUAUUUUUUAAAAGUUGGAAUUUGGUAUGAUUAGCUUUAUAGCUUUAGCUAUUUAUAUUAGUUUUAUGGCAACUUGACACUACCCAGAGUCAUUUUGGAAGAGGGAACCUCAGUUGAGAAAAAUCCUCCACCAUAUUGAUCUAUGAGCAAGCCAGUAAGCAGCACUCCUUCAUGGCCUCUGCAUCAGCUCCUGCUUCCAGGUUCCUGCCCUGGUUGAGUUCCUGCCUUGACUUUCCCUCAGUGAUAGAGUGUUCUUGGGAGUGUAGAUGAAGUAAACCCUCGCCUCCUAAACUGCCCUUGGUCAUGAUCUUUUAUCAUAGCAAUGGAACCCCUACUUAAGACAAUUAUCUUUGAAGCACAUAUUUUGACAUUUAGGCAUAUCAAUAAAUGAUUGAUGGUUAGUUUCUUAAAAUGCCCCUUGACCACAAAGACAGUGAAUUUUCUCCCUUGCUCCCUAGCAUAGAUUAUAGGUCUGAGCCAUCAGAUCUGGCUUGAGGUUCAAAGCUUGUGACCACCUGUUCCAAGGACAAAUGAGCUGCCUAGAACUCUUCCACUGGCCUGCCUGUAGCCGGGAAUGGUGGAGUUCCCUGUGACUGUGGGAUUCUAUAUGAGCUACUGAUGAGACAUAAGCAAGUAAGGAAAGUUGAUCUUGGGAUCAACACUCAUCAAGAAUAAGAUGGGUCCCCCACUCUCUAGCUGUGCUUCCAGACAGGUUUGCUUCAGUGUGGCUUCAGCAAAGCCUUCCUAGUGGUCUACAGUAGAGAAUGCAAGAGUCCAUCCCUAGCCUGAACACUGCACACAGACACCAAUUAUGCUAAAAUAUUUAAUUUCAUUCCAUAAAUAAUUAAGCCUAAAUAAUAAUACCUAGAUAUAACUUGGAACUUGUGACAAUCUACCUGCCUCUGUCUCUGUGUACCAGGAUUAUAGGCCUGGGCACACAUUCUUCUUCAGGACUGAUUAUAAUACAUUUUGUAUAUUGAUUUAAAAAAAUGAUGCUUAGGUAGUUAUGGCCUGUGAGUAAUUCUAUAAAGUAGACUAAGUGGAUAUCAUCAGUCUAUACUCUAAGACAUUCCUUUAAUUUUUUUAAAUUUUUUUUUAAAGUUCUACUUUUUAAAGAUUCCUAGAGAGCCAGAUGGGUGAUGAAAAGCCAGGUUUCACAUGUAACACUAAUAUUGGGGGAAAAAAAACCUGACGCUAGAAAUUAUUUAGUUAUUCUGAAAGCUGUCACUUCUUGAAAGCAGAGUCAGAAUUAGAAAAGAAUUAACAGUGUAUCGUUGUGUUCUCACAUUUCCAAUGUGGCUGGUGAAUCAUGAAGCAAAAAUUUCCUCAAAACUGGAGCCCCAGAGUCUUAGUCUGAGCCCAUCCUCCUGCCUGAGAAUCUCCAAAUUGCCUAGUGAAGGAAAAGCUAUGUCCAUGGUCCCACCUGUUCCAAAGUCCCUUUGGAAAUCUAGGCAGAAGUAGGUUUGCUAGAGUCUUACUUAUGACAACCUGGGAAACAAAGAAGGCUCUUCAUACAAGGGUGUGUAUCCACACAAGAGGCAGCAUCCUGAAGGAAACCUUCAGGAGCCUCCGAUCCUGCAGUUAGCUGACUGUUUCCUGCCCUCCUUGGUCCAACUCGUUAUGGCCCCAGGUGUUCCUUCUUGCUGCUGAACUGCUGUCUCUACCAGCUGAGCCCACUCCUGUGGUCUGCACUCACUGCCCUGGCUGCAGGUUGAACAGGGUCAGGCUACUUCUCAGAUGCUUCCCACCAGCCGCAGUGAACUCCAUUUUGACAUGAAGCCAUUUAAAUGGAAAUCCAGUUUUACAAAGCUCAAGUGACUGGUAAUGAAGAUGUGAAUGAUGCUUAUGAGGUUUUUAUUUAAUUUUAAAUCAAUUGUGUAUUCUAAUUCAUUAAUAAAGGGGAAAGGAAAGAAUACAGGAAAAAAAAAAAAAAAAA